RNAcentral lists this ribosomal RNA (198 nucleotides) under uncultured bacterium. RNAcentral describes it as "partial 16S ribosomal RNA". It matches the Rfam family "Bacterial small subunit ribosomal RNA", at positions 328 to 539 of the family's 1533-position model. The record is from RNAcentral.
ACGCUCGACACCUACGGGAGGCAGCAGUGGGGAAUAUUGCACAAUGGGGGAAACCCUGAUGCAGCGACGCCGCGUGAAGGAAGAAGUAUUUCGGUAUGUAAACUUCUAUCAGCAGGGAAGAAAAUGACGGUACCUGACUAAGAAGCCCCGGCUAACUACGUACCAGCAGCCGCGGUAAUCUGAGCGGGCUGGCAAGGC